AAUACAAAGAACCCUGAAUUUGGACCCUGCAUGUCGAUCAGAAGGCGACAACGUGUUAAUUGGACCAAAUCAGAAAUGUGUCAUCUGUGGAGAGGAGUUCCCCUUUUCCAGAAUCAAGGAUCACAGCAAUAACUGCAUGAGGAGAUCCAGCAAUUGGUGAUGGUGUGACUCGACAUUUCUUUGCAACCAUCAUGUCAAAACUUCAGGCUGGUUUUGAGAUGAAGUUUG
This is a long non-coding RNA of Gymnodraco acuticeps, 228 nucleotides long. RefSeq lists it as uncharacterized. Lineage: Eukaryota; Metazoa; Chordata; Actinopteri; Perciformes; Bathydraconidae. The transcript is spliced from 3 exons. The record is from RefSeq and is a predicted model, not a curated record.